Molecule: ribosomal RNA, 253 nt
Filed under: uncultured bacterium
Lineage: Bacteria
Description: partial 16S ribosomal RNA
Rfam family: Bacterial small subunit ribosomal RNA
Source: RNAcentral
UACGGAGGGGGCUAGCGUUGUUCGGAAUUACUGGGCGUAAAGGGCUCGUAGGCGGCCAACUAAGUCCGACGUGAAAUCCCAAGGCUUAACCUUGGAACUGCGUCGGAUACUGGAUGGCUUGAAUUCGGGAGAGGGAUGCAGAAUUCCAGGUGUAGCGGUGAAAUGCGUAGAUAUCUGGAGGAAUACCGGUGGCGAAGGCGGCAUCCUGGACCGACAUUGACGCUGAUGAGCGAAAGCUAGGGGAGCAAACGGG